CCUACGGGGGGCUGCAGUGAGGAAUAUUGGUCAAUGGGCGUAAGCCUGAACCAGCCAUCCCGCGUGAAGGAAGAAGGCGCUAUGCGUCGUAAACUUCUUUUCCAGAGGAAUAAAAUUUUGUACGAGUACAGAACUGAAGGUACUUUGGGAAUAAGCAUCGGCUAACUCCGUGCCAGCAGCCGCGGUAAUACGGAGGAUGCGAGCGUUAUCCGGAUUUAUUGGGUUUAAAGGGUGCGUAGGCGGAUUAAUAAGUCAGUGGUGAAAACCUUCAGCUUAACUGGAGAACUGCCAUUGAUACUGUUAGUCUUGAGUACGGUCAAGGUAGGCGGAAUGUGUAAUGUAGCGGUGAAAUGCUUAGAUAUUACACAGAACACCGAUUGCGAAGGCAGCUUACUGGGCCAUUACUGACGCUGAUGCACGAAAGCGUGGGGAGCGAACAGGCUUAGAUACCCCUGUAGUC
This 460-nucleotide ribosomal RNA is filed under the name uncultured Bacteroidota bacterium. RNAcentral describes it as "bacterial SSU rRNA". It matches the Rfam family "Bacterial small subunit ribosomal RNA", at positions 338 to 795 of the family's 1533-position model. The record is from RNAcentral. Lineage: Bacteria; Pseudomonadati; Bacteroidota.